CCGAGUGUUGGUUUAGUCAAUGCGAAAGUCCUCCUCCGUUCCUCGACGAAACCAGACACUACCAAGCUCAAAAAGGCGAAGAAAAUCCCGGUUCCUAUCCUUUGCAAGAGCGUGAUCCCGGUGUCUAUACCGGUGAUUCUUCUCAAGGUAGGCACGAGGACGCGGUCGUAGAUUAUGAUGAAAACAGUCAUUCCUGUCAUCAAGAAGACCACAUAGGUGGCUGCAGGGAUCACAAACCCUCCAGAGCCUAAGCGACGAUCGCUCUGGAGGGCUUGAAAGACAGGAUAGGUCAUCUGUUGCGUGAUGGUCAAGUAAUAGAUCGAUGAAGCAAACCAUAUAGGAAGCACUCUCACAAUGCACUUCACUUCUUCAACUUGUUGCAUUGUACAUAGCUUCCAUGGAUCCGUAGGCUUACCAUCAGCAUCCAACUUGUCUUCAGGAGCCAAGAUCGCCGCCUUAUCAAGAAACCUACCAAAAACAGAAAGCUUGCUUUCUAAGUAAACAAAAGUGGAAAGAUAUUAUUUAUAACCGUGUGUCUUUACCUGAACUGGUCGGUGUACUUGAGCUUAGAGUUUGCGUAGUUUAGUGGGUAGUAAUUGUAAAGGUUAACCCAAGGCUGCUUCACAGCCUUUAACCCACGUUUCUUGAUAGCAACCGUUAUAACUUGAGCUAUACUAGCCAAUGGACUACCUGAGGCUUUGAUCUUGACAUACAACUUAUCACCCGCAAAGAAGAUCAGGUCUAAAAGCUUCCAGAAGAUGAGAAACCACAUGAUCAUUAGACUUUGUUCUUGUCUUGUUGUUUGAUCACAUCUCCAUUUGUUUCAUAAGCUGUCACUUCAUCAUCACUUCCUUUGUACCUAUACCAUCUUGACAUCACCAAGAAGUAAGCAAAAUUAACCGCCAAGAUUCCAGCGAUCAUGAAGUAAAACAAAUCCAAUCUUCCUUUGUUCAAAUCUUCAGCCAACCAGUUACCGCCAGCCGAGUUCUGCGUCGUCCUGUGUACCGUUGCAAUCAAGAAGCUGCCGAGGUAACUAGAAACUCCUCCUCCCACAUAGAAGAUGGAGCCGGCGAAACUCCUCAUGUUCUCGGGGAACUGCUUGUAGUAAAACUCCAUCUGUCCAAUAGCUCCAAAUGCCUCGGCUACACCCGCGAGUGUGAGCUGCGGUAUCAGCCACAUAGCUGACAUUGAGGAGAUUUCUCCCUUCCGUGGCGCCAUACCGAGUGUUGGUUUAGUCAAUGCGAAAGUCCUCCUCCGUUCCUCGACGAAACCAGACACUACCAAGCUCAAAAAGGCGAAGAAAAUCCCGGUUCCUAUCCUUUGCAAGAGCGUGAUCCCGGUGUCUAUACCGGUGAUUCUUCUCAAGGUAGGCACGAGGACGCGGUCGUAGAUUAUGAUGAAAACAGUCAUUCCUGUCAUCAAGAAGACCACAUAGGUGGCUGCAGGGAUCACAAACCCUCCAGAGCCUAAGCGACGAUCGCUCUGGAGGGCUUGAAAGACAGGAUAGGUCAUCUGUUGCGUGAUGGUCAAGUAAUAGAUCGAUGAAGCAAACCAUAUAGGAAGCACUCUCACAAUGCACUUCACUUCUUCAACUUGUUGCAUUGUACAUAGCUUCCAUGGAUCCGUAGGCUUACCAUCAGCAUCCAACUUGUCUUCAGGAGCCAAGAUCGCCGCCUUAUCAAGAAACCUACCAAAAACAGAAAGCUUGCUUUCUAAGUAAACAAAAGUGGAAAGAUAUUAUUUAUAACCGUGUGUCUUUACCUGAACUGGUCGGUGUACUUGAGCUUAGAGUUUGCGUAGUUUAGUGGGUAGUAAUUGUAAAGGUUAACCCAAGGCUGCUUCACAGCCUUUAACCCACGUUUCUUGAUAGCAACCGUUAUAACUUGAGCUAUACUAGCCAAUGGACUACCUGAGGCUUUGAUCUUGACAUACAACUUAUCACCCGCAAAGAAGAUCACGCAGGCCAAGAACAUUAACACGACAGGUAUGGUUAAACCGAUGGUCCAACUGACGUUAGACUGGAUGUAGACAACUAGUGUCAGCGACAAGAUCUGCGCGAACGUGAAGGUGAAGAAGUACCAGUUAAAGAAACUAUCAAUCCCUCUCUUCCCUGACUCGCUUUUAGGGUUAAACUGAUCAGCUCCAAAAGCAAGAUUACACGGUCUAAUCCCACCUGCUCCCACCACAAGAAAGGCAAGACCCAUUAGUAGAAAGGCUAUCUGGCCACCACUUGGGCCUGUACACGUGAGGGCUGUUCCGCAUGGAGCUGGAUGCAGUUGUGGUACUGCAGCAGUUAAUAGUAUCACAAGUGAUCCCUACCAAAACAAGAAUCAGAUUUUUUUUUUUUAGGUUUAUAAACCAAGAUUGCUUGUGGAGGAAGAAAAGGUUAUAGAGGAUGGAUUAUUACAAGAAAACAUGCGAUGACCGCGACGGUUAGUGUCUUGUAACGACCGAAGUAAGUGUCGCAAAGGAAGGCGGCAACGAAGGUUCCGAAGUUGAUUGUGCCACUAAAGGCGUUGAUGAUUGUUGCGGCUGUGAUACUCUUCAUGUUGAAGACAGCAGUUAAGUAAACCAGAAGGUUUGAUAGUGUUCCAAUGAUCCCAAGCUUCUCAAAUGUCUCGUUUCCUGGUAAUAACAACAUGCAAGAAGAAAAGAUCAUAAGACUUUGACCUUAGCAACCAAACGAAGAAUCAAACAAGAGAUUCUUGAUCAUUUAUGUGUUCUGAAACAUCUUCAAACUCAAGAUCUCACUCUUUUGGGUUAAAUUACUGUUUGACUAAGUCAAAGCUUAAGACAACAACACAAAGAAUCUCACCAAUAAUAAAAUCAAACCAACAAAAUAUAGUUUCUAGAAACAGAGAAGAAAAUUGUCAAAAUUUAAUUACAGGAAAUUUCUAGAAAUAUAGUUUCUAAAACUUUGGAAAUAUACCAAUCAAAGAAAAUGAUAUAUAUUUUUUUUAUCAAAAAUUUAUAUUUUUUAUAUGUUUAAAACAUAUGCGUUACCUAUGAUGAAAGGCAUGACUUUCCAGCCUCUAUAAACGAGUUUGGUUUCCUGAACUUCUUCUUCAACAGAAUCAACCGCCGUAGCAGAGCCGUCGUACACGGCGGAGGAAGGUUUCUGAUGAUCGGUGGACUCAACUUCCAGAGGCUUUCUCUCCAUUUUGCUACUACUGAAGCAGUUUAAAGUUGUAUUUUCUUUAUUUUGUAUUGUUGUCUCAAAAGGCUAAUAAUGAUGACUCUGUUUUUUCUUCAUCUUGGAGUUGUCUCUAUAUAUAGUGGUAAAGAGGAUGGUGGAUGUGUCGGAAUAUAGACAAAUUGGUAAUUUGUGAAUAUGGCCGUGAAAGAGAACUGUGUUAGUGAUUAUAAUAUUGGUUUUAAAUUAGUCAAUUAAAGUAUUUUUGUUUACAGAAUUAAGCUUAAAAAAAAAGAAGGUGAAAAUGUAGAUUCCAUUACAAGUGUUGUGGCCCCAUCAUAAUCACUCACUCUUUAAUAACGGCACGUUCUUUUAAGCUCUCAAUUUGUUUUCCAUCAUCCAUUUUCGUAUUUCUUUUUUUCUUUUUUUUUUCAUUUUCGUAUUUCAUUUAUCUCUUCUUCUUCUAUUUUUAUGCUUUUUAUUUGUCUUCAUUUAAUUUUAACAAAUAUAUCAUUAAUAUAAGAAAUAUCUCAAGAACAUGCUCCAUCUUAUGAAAAUUGGCUGUUUUAGUUUCCUUUUUAUUUCAUAUAAUAUAAUGUUAUAUAUAUUUCAGUUAGUCCUUGAAAAAAUGCUGAAGUAAAUGAAACUAAAUUCAAAUUAUAAGGAGUAAAUACUAACAAAUAAGGUUGAAAACAAUUCUUAGAUAUUUUUUGUAUAUAUGAAAACUUAAAUCAUGAAACAACAAUACUUUCAGAAUCAUUUAGUUAAGCAAUGUAAAUUUUUAACAUCGUUUGCAGCUAACGCAAAUAUAUGAAAUAAAUGAUGGUAAACAACAAAUUUUUUUGUAGUGAGCUAACCUGAAACACACAUACAAAUCUGUACUUAAUUUCUAUUCAAUAGCGAAUCUUCCACUAUCUGAUCGGUCCACCAUGAUUGGUUUAGUCAAAUUAGUUGGUAAGAGAUUAUGAUCUUCUAAAAUUUGUAUCUGCUAAAAUUUAAUGUUGGUGGAUUGCGGGAGACAAAGUCAGACAAAAUUUCUUUUAAAAUCCACUAAUUUUUUUUAGCCCGAUUUAUUGGUUCUUAUUUUAAUUUUAAUUUUUUCUCAAAUCAUUUAUUGGUUCUGUUCAUUUGAAAAAGUCAAAUUUUGUGUAAUUAAUAACCCAUUUGAGCUUGGUUUUAUUUGAGUUGAGUUACUUCCUGUUUUUUUUUUCCACUAAAAGGCAAUGAAAAUUUUAAUUGUUUUUUCUCUAUUUUUGAAUACAUUCAUAAAAAGGCCAGUUCUCUACAUUUUUCAGGAAAUUGAUGAAAAUUAAAUUAGUAUCCUGGGAGAUGUUAGUAAAAGUAGACCAGAAUGAAAAAGAGAAAAACUGAGAUGUUAGUAAAAUUAAUUAGACAUGACACCAAUAAGGAUGGUCUCAAUUUCCUCAACUUUAGCUUCCACAAUUCAACUUUAAUUUCUUCCAUUUUACCAAUUUGGUUCACAACUAAAAUCCUCAAGCAAGAAAUGCAGUUAACAAAAAAAAUUUAAAAAAAACUUCUGACUAAGUUCAAGUAUUUUGGCCUGUAAAAUAAUUUUAUAAACAUAGCGUUGUUUCAUAUUUAUAGUUAGAUAACAAAAUAUGAUCAAAGAAAAACUUAAUAAUCUUCGUUUUAUUUUCAUUUAGGGCAUCUCCAUCCCUACUCCAUUUUUUCCUCUAAAAUGAAGUAAAAGUGAAUAUGGAGUAAGGAAUGCUCCAACCCAACUCUAUAUAUCACUCCAUAAUGGAAUUUACUCCAUAAAUAGAGUAAUCUAUUUUUUGUUUGUUCAUCACUCCAUUAUAGAGUAAGAAAUGGAGUAAGGUUACAUCAAUUUUACUUCAUAUUCACUUUUACUCUAUUUUAGAAGAAAAAAUGGAGUUUUAGACCGAAGAUGCUCUUAGUAUCUUUUGGACCCAAAAAUAUGUUGUGAUUGUCAGUUUGGAAAAAUUCUAUAGUACUUGGCCUCGUAUUAUUUUUCAUAAAAGAAAACUGAAAUUAUAGAUAAACGAAGCCAUAGAGUAUGAUUAUGCAUUUGUGAAAGAAAAAAAACUUCUCGAAUCCAUCUUAAUAAUGCGUCUCUUGUGUUCCCCAAAAAAAAAAAGAUAAUGCGUCUCUAAGUAGCUAAAUCAAUUAAUCAUGUCUGCGACACCAUCGUUACCUAAUUAAAAGAUAAUGCGAAUAAGAUUUGAGAAAAUGACGUUUGGAAAAUGGUUUUUCUAAGUCGAAAUGCAUUUUAUUUUAAAGCCCCAAUUUACAUUAGAUUUUUUAUAUGUACAACUGAAUUCUAGAAUACCCAAGUUUAAGGCUAGCUAAACAUAACUAAUCCAACCAAGUCACGAUACUUUGUUUCUUUGGUCGCCUUGUAAACUAAUAAACAAAAAUGUUUAAGAUUUAAAACAAAAAUGGUCGUAUCAUUUGAUCGAUUUUUUGCAGUUUUAUUAUUACUUUAUACUAAAUAUAUUUUAAUUUCAGCAAGAAGAAAAAAACCUUGAUUGACUCGGGAAAACGGUCAUGUCCACUCUAGUACAAAUAAUUUUGUAUAGUUUGUGAAUUUUGAGAGUUGAUAGAUUUAAAAAAGUUAUGUGGAUUGUGAAAAUUUAUAUACAUUGACUUAUGAAAUUUUAUCAUAACUUUUCUAGAUUGAUAUAGAUUUUCAUGAAUUUGUAUUACCUCUUUUUAUCAUUUUUUUGUAAGAUAAAUAUAGAAUAUAUUUAUUUUCUAAAUCAUAUAACAUGAUUUUUUUAUUUUUUUGUUUUCAAAUUAAAAAAAAAAAUACUGAUACAUACAAAAUUGAACAAUUUUCUUAAAUAGCCAUUUUAAAAGAUUUUGUCACAAAAAGAAUAUUAAAAAAAGAAAAUAACCAAAAGAAGUUUCAUUAAAAAUAUAAAAGACUAUUUUACCCCUUACGGUAUAUAGAUGUAUAAGUAAUAAAAAAUAAAAAAAUAAAAAGUUGUUUUAUAUGUAUUUUUUCAAAUUCGAACAUUUUUAUAAUAUUUGUAAUUUUCCUAUUUAAAAAUAAAUAUUUUUUUCAAAUAUUUUUUUCAAAUAUUUUUUUUGAAAUUCGAAUUUUUUUGAAACUAUUUAAAAAAAUAUUUUAAAAUUAUUAAGAUUUGUAAAUGUAAUUAUUAUUCUUUAUAUUAAAAAUAUAAUAUUUUUAAAAAUAAUUAUAUGUUCAAAAAUGUAAAAGUAUAUAAAUGUAAUGAAUUAUAGUUUUGAACAUAUAAUUUGAAUUUAAGGUGCAAUAAAUAUUUGGUAAGAAUGAUUAUUUUGUUUCUUUUAGUAUUUUUAUCACAAGGAUUUUGAAAAUCACAUGGAUACAUAUAAUAUUUUGAAAGUUGAGUCUUAUGAGUAAAAAUGAAUAGAAUUCAUCUCCCAAUAACACUAGAUUUAGUUAGAAUUAGAGAAUCAAUAAUAACUAAACUUUUUUAAUAACAAGAGAUUUGAAUGGAUUUUAAAAAUUCUUAAACCAAUAAUAAUGAAUUCUACUAAGAUUUUUGAAAUCCAAAAACCAAUAAUUCUCUCAAUAACCCUCCCCCCCCCCUAGUAUUUGAAGUCAACUAGGUGGUUAGCUUGGUAGGCCGUUACACUUAGGAUGAAAUAUAUUGAGUAUAUAAGCAAACAUGUGGAGCAAGGGAUCUACUCCCUCCGUUCCAUUAAGAUAGAUUUUUCUGAAAAAAAAAGUUUAUUUUAUAAAGAUGUAUUUUUGUGUUUUCUAUGAAAAAAUUGUACACUUCAAGAAAAUUAAUUGACUUUACUGAAUUACUAUUGAUUAAAAAUUAAAAAUUACAUAAAAUAAUGCAUUUAUAAUGGUAGUUUAAUGUGUUUUCUUAAUAUGUGUAAAAAUAUUAAAAAAUCUAUCUUUGUGAAACAGAGGGAGUAUACAAUAAGAAAAUAGCAAAAGCGUUAUUUCUUCAACUACUAAGAGCAUAUUCAAUGUAAAAUUCUAUUUUUUCCUCCAAAAUAGAGUAAAAGUGAAAAUGAAAUAAAAUUGCUUCAACCCUACUCAAUUUUCCACUCCAUAAUAGAGUGAUGAACACAACAAAAAAUAGAUUACUCCAUUUAUGGAAUAAAUUUCAUUAUGGAAAGAGAUAUGCAAUUGGGUUGGAGUAUUUUUUACUCCAUAUUUACUUUUAAUCUAAUUUAGAAGAAAAAAUGGAGUAAGGAAGAAUAUACCCUAUACCGCCGAUCAGAUAAAAGAGUUGGAACGUGACUUGAUAGUAAGUGGUAUACCGUAUACGUAUCUACAAAUCAAGUUCUUGCUCAAUUUGAAUUGUUGAAUCAGACUGCUAGAAAUGUUCCAAAACAAAAACGAAUCGGACUACUAGCUCAAAAAUAAUAAUAACAACGGUGUAGUUUGAGAGCAGACCACACACAGACACACUCGAACACAUACGUAUAUACAUGUAGGAAAUAAUCGUGUAAGCAACUACGCAUGCGUUACAUAUGAAAAAGACCACCGCAAGCGUUGAAAACUUCGCUCAUUUAAAGACUCUCUUUAGUUAGUAGCAUUAAUGUGUUUAAAAAAAUUUUUAGUAGCAUUAAUAAUUAUAUUAGUAACUAAUACCAUGAGGUUAUGCUUGAUCUAUAUUAUUAUAUAUACAUACCCAUUGUUUUUCACAUUUUGUUUUUCCUUUGCUAGCUUGAAGAUUCGUUUUAAUACAUUAAAAGUUUCACACUCCAAGAUAAAUUAGUGUCGUUUUGCGAAAUGAUAUUUAUGGACGAUUUAUAGGAAAUACUUGAGUUGAAUAGUUUCAAGUUCUGAUCACGACUCUCGCUGUGUACGCAACAGUAAUUCUUAUUCCUGUUGAAAUAUUGUGGACUCACCCCAGGCUCCAAUUUACUUGUAGAUGAAAUUCAUGGGAAUGAUAAUUACAUUUUUAAAGAUCUACUGACAAUAAUAAAUUCAUUUCAGUUCGAUUUAAAGAUUUGUCUAUUGAAAAGCCGAGAAACUGUAUAUAGUCGUAGACCAAAAUAUUUCAAUGAAGAGAUCGUUCUUAUUUUAACAAACCCUCUUUUAUAGUAAUGUCAUUUUUUUUUUUUUGCUGUACAAAAUAUCGUUUUAUGCUGUCAAGGCAAUAUGUUUAACCCUAUUAAUUUAUCCUUUUAUUUACAACAACGUAAACAGAUUUAACACUCGGCUAAUCAAGAGGGGGAGUCCCUAUUAAUUUAUCUUAUUAACUGGAAAUAUACUAUUUAACAUGCAUCAUACAUUUUUCAAACUACCUCAUUCAAACUCACAAAUGGUUCCCAGUUUAACAUGUAUUGUACAAGAUUCUCUUAAAAUAUAUAAUGUAUUCAAUUCAUAGGCUGUAUAGUAUUGUUUACUCUGAAUUUUGGCACUAUCGAGUCAAUGCUACAGCUACAAUAUUGAAUCUGUUUCUUAAAUAAAACCAUAGUAAAACAUAAAUUCUUUGAUGAAAGCUAACACGGGGGACAUUGUUUUGUUUUCUUGGGCUAACCAGCUAACACGGGUUAAACAUUUAAAUCGUUUUUUUUUCAUGACACAUACGGUAUUAUAUUACAUUGUAUAACAAGAAAAGGACAAAUGUAUUAAAAUUGAAUAAACAAAGACAAUGGGUUCGGCACUGACGCGGUUACAAUAAUCUGAAGUGAGACCAAAAUUGUACAAGCAAUUAUGCAAGAGUCAACCUUCAUGCUCAUUACAUACGCAUAACUGCCCAGACCUUUUUCAUAUAGGGCCAUUUUCACGUGGUCAAUGAUGAAAAGUACGUAUGAAACAUUAUCCUAAUACAUAUGAUAUUAUAUGUAGAGCUCGGCACAAAUGCUUGAUACUCGGUUUAUACUUGCUAUUUGAUUCGGUUUGGUUUAAAAACACAAGUAUUUACUCCAAUCAAAUCGAGUAACAAGUAAACGGAUUUUAUUACUCGUAACUACAAGUCAAGUAUCAAGUUUAUUUUAAUUUUUAGCCAUUUGGUUUGUUACUUGGUUUAUUACUUGUUAUCUUUUACUAAUUCAGUUAUUUGUUAUAUAUUAUUUAGUUUAUUAAAUACUUAGUAUAUAUUUUAUUAGUUAAUUAAAAUUUAUGUAUUUUAUGAGUGGUUACAAUUGCUUGUUACUUGCCUAUGUUCACUACUUGGUUGGUUGGUAUUUGAUUUUUAAAGUUGAAUACUUGUUUUGACCAAGAUGCGUAUCAAGUAGUCUAUUUAAACUACUUGCGAAUACAUACAAAUACAAAAUCAUAAAAUAAAACUAAUUAUUUGGUUUAUUACUCAUUUUUUAGUUGAAUAAAGAUAUAUUUUUCUAAAUUAUAGUAAAACAACUCGUUUAUAUUUUUUUAUAAGUGAAUCAAACAUAAAUGAUAUAUUUAUAUAAGCAUUUUGGAAUUUUUCUUUCUUAAUAUAAUCUAUUUACGAAUGACUAAAAAAAGGAAAAACAAUGACACAAUAAAAACAAAGACAUAUUAUUUAUAUAUAAUAAAUUUAUUUACUUUUAAAUUUCAAAUAAUUAUCAAAUAAUUAUUAAAUAAUUUACCAAUAAUUAUAAAAUAAUUUACCAAUAAUUAUCAAGUAAUUUGUAAAUAAUUUACAACUAACAAGUAAUAAAACAAGACAAGUAACUAUCAAGUCUAUCAAUUUUUUCGCAAGUACUUGAAACUAUAAGUACUCGUUUUUAACAAACUAAGUAUAAGUCCUAAAUUUUAAUACUCGUACAAGCCAAGCCCAGUACUAAGUAUACCGAAAAUACCAAGUAUUCGGCUUGUGCUUACCUCUAAUUAUAUGGUCUGUCAAAUAAAAAUUACCUAUAUUUUGUAUUUCUUUGAUUUGAGUGAUUUCAACCUGUAGAUGAAGGGGAUCGCAAUGAAAAGCAGUACACCCUAGUGACAAGUGACAACUUGUUUUUAGGCUAAUAGUUGAAUAUCAAAAGUCAAGAAUAAAGUGAAAAACAAUCUAUUAAUUUUUGUAUACGGCUGGAUUUUUAAUCAUAUAACAUUUCGUACUUAUACGUCAUCUCUGUAAGUCUUUAAUCGGUUUUGUAUAAGUGUAUCGUAUACAGUAUGUAGUGUUCCAGUAAACUACAAUCAUUUGUUUCAAAUGCACACUUGUCUUGUCUAUGGAUUCGUAUUUUUUAUGAUGUUUAGUUUAAUUAUAUAAUUGACAAAGCAAGCAUCUGAACGCAAAAAAAAAAAUUAUCAUAAACGUUCAAAUAUUUGGUAUAAAUUAUGAUUUUACAGAGUUCUGUGUGACUACAAAGAUUUUUUUUGUUUUACUUCUACAAAGUAAUCAAAACUUUAAACCGUUGACGAUUAGUCCAGCUUAUGUUUUUAGUUUGAGCGAGCGGUUCACACAUUUCCUUGAUUUUAUAUGUAUGCAAUGAUUUACAAAGAAAGUGACUGGCAUAUUUUCAACCCUUCUUGUAGAAGAACAAGAAAAUACUACUAAAAAAUACAAUCAUACCACAAGGUUCAGGAGAAACCUAUACAGUAUAUAGGACUGGGCAUGAAAUCCGUAAUCUAAAAUCCGAAUCGAAUCCAAACCGAAAAACCCGAUCUGUACCUGAUCCGAAAUGUAAAAAUACCUCAAUGGAUUUUGUAGGGUGUUACAAAACAUAACCGAACCGAAAGUGUUAUUAACCGAACCCGAACGGAUAAUCUGAAAAUCCGAAAAAAUAUUCGAAGAAAUCGAUCCGAAUGUCUAUAUUAAUAUACAAUAUAAAUAUUUGAAACAUAAAUAUGUACUUCAAAUAUUCAAUUUCAUAUUUAUUUGGAUAUGAUAUCUAACAAUAAAUAUUUAAAUUUAAAUAAAUACCUUAAAUACUCCAUUAUAUACAAAGAAGUAUAUAUUUCUUAUGUUUUACUUUUAAAUUUUAGAUUUUACUUUGGAUAUAUCCGAACCGAUCUGAUGUAACCCGAAUCUGAAUGAUAUAUAUGGUUACUUCAGAUCCGAACCGAUCCGAAACCGAAGUGUUAUAUCCGAAUCCGAUCCGUACUUGUAAAUUUACUAGAAUGGGAUCUAUGAAGUGUUACAAAAUAGAACCGAAAUCCGAAAAACCCGAUCCGAACCCGAACGCCAAGGCCUAGGCUGUGAUCUUAUUAAGCUUUCUUGCAAAGUGCAGUUAAUGAUAAAAUUGCAAUCCAACAGAAGUUGAGUAUCAAUCUUUUCGCUAUUGAUUUUCAAUCAUCAAUCUUUUUUGUUGGAAACACACUAAUCAUGAUGUGGUUUCUUCCCAAGUAUAUGGCUCUUUUUAGGAAACAUAAAAUAAUACUCAUUACAAAAUUAGCAUAAUCUGAUUUAAGUUUCAAUAAAUACUGCUUUACAUUGUAAACGUACCGAUAGUAUUAUUCGUUGUCCGCAUUUAACUUUAUGAUAAUGUUUUUUUUUUGUAAAACUUUACAAUAAUGUUGUAUUGAUUAAAUAGAGGCAUCGAUCUAUUCAAAUAUUUCAAGGUUUUUCUAAAAAUAAGUUUUCAGAACCCUCAUGUGUCAUCUAUAAUUGAUUUUUUUUUUUUUGGUUACCUUUUUGAAUCUAAUAAUCUAAGGUUUAUUUAAAUUAAAGAUAAUAUUUACUGCCUUGCAAAUUUUUAAAAAAUUUAUAAUUUGUUUAUUUUAUUAGGCUAUAUUAAGUGUAUUAUUAUAUAUUCUAUCUCAAUUACUAUAUAUAUAUAUAUAUAUAUAUAACAUCUCAUUAAGGUAUCCAAACCUACCCCAAGGAGGAAAAAGAUAUAAAAUUAUGAUCGUGGCAAUGAAAAAGGCAAGAAACUGGUGUCAGCUUUUUGUAAUGCACAUCAAAGAUCCGAUCAGUAUUAUUUUAGGUGUGAUUUAUAAUGCUAGCUUUUGAUAUUUUUGGGUCGGUUGGUGUUCUUGUCCGAUGAUGUUCUUGCCCACAUUUUAGUACCAUACCCCCCAACCACAAUGUUAUAUUGCUUCUUUUUCUUUCUGAUUUCGGGUAUAACAACGCAACAUCCCUUUAAAAUAUAGAACAUGAUUAUGUGAAAAAAAUGAUUUUGAUUCUACUAAAUCAUCAACCAAUAUUCUCUGGGGACAAAUUAUGAAACUCUUACAGAAGCUGGUAGAACAAAUUUAUAAUUGACAAAACAAUAUUAUCUUAAGUAUACGCACCUGAUUAAAUAUCACAUUUUAUUUACAUUAGCUCACUAGUCUGAUUUGUAAAAAGGAUCAGUGACUUGUGUUUUAGUCAAUUUCGCCAUCUAUAUUGCUUUCACCUGCCAUUUAAAACAUCACUAAUUCACUACACCUUUCACCACAAACAAGAUGGGAAUCAAGUUGUCGGGUUUUGCAUAUUAAUAAAUUACAGAAUUCCUAAAUGCUAAAGAAAACGCACUACACAUUCUACCCUAAGAAAACUUAAAAGCAACCAAAUAACAUUAACAUAAUAUUAAACCAAAUAGAAUAAUAAUGUAUAUAUACAUUUUUAUUUGUAUAAAUGCAUAGUAUCACGUGAAUCACGUUGUAAAUGCAGUAAAAGCGCAUUACGUUUAGAUGUGGAUGCAUUUAGCCCGUUUAAGUUAAUUUUAGAGUUGAUUAUGUCGACGAGUACGUUAACCAGUGUAUCAGAUAAUAAGUGGGAGUAGUUUAAUAAACCAUAAAGUGAGAGGAAGAGGAUCGCAAUGCGUCACGUUUUAGCAAUACAAAUGGUAUGGGAGAGAAGAAGAAGUGCGAGUCGUUUUCACCAAUCCACUAAAAGUGAUUCUAAGUCAAAAUAUUCAAAAAAGCGAGUGCGAUUACGUUUAUCCAACGCCCAACGCGUUUCCAUUACCUUUUUCACCUUUCUCUUAAUUUUCUCCAUAUUUUUGGUGGAACAUUUUUUUGUGACAAUUUGAUUAUUGCUAAAAAUUAUAUACUACUAUAGAUGGGAACGUAGUCUAAAUUAAAUGUAUUUUACAAUGUAUAUACGUGUUUAGUCUGUCGUUUACUUAAGAAGUUAAGAUGACAAGUUGGAAAGUUAAUGAGCGGAUGCCCUUCAGAAAAUGGUGAAAAUAAAAGUAAAAAAUAGGUUUAUCUAUUGCAAAAAGCGAUAGAACCUUCGACAUGUGCUUUCUCUGCAACUUUUUAUAAUAAAGACUCAAUUUGCCUGUUUCAGGGUACGUUUCUACAGUUGUCCAAUAAGACCACCACUUGUUAGAGCCUUUUUAUUUCCAUUUAUUUAUGUUCAUCUUAUGCGUCUAAGAAAAAAACACUUAAAUGGUAUUGCAACCGAAAGUGUAUACCAAGUAUAAAUACCCUUCAGUCAGAGAUCUCUAGCAUCAAAAUUCAUAAAUAUUAUUGAUAUAAAUUUUACCAAAAAAGAUAAUAGGUCCAAUGAAAUGUUGCGAAUAUAUGCUUAAAAGUAAGGUUAUAUUUUCUAAUAUGCAGUUUGAAAUAGAACGGGUAGCAAUGUUCUAUUAUGGUUGAACACGAAACAUAAGCACGACGUUUUCUUUCUUUUUUUUUUCUUUUUUCUUUAACAUAAGCACGACGUUAUCUAGUAUGUUAGGCAUAACCCGCAUGACCUAAUGUAAAAUAUCGAACCUUUGAAUUAUUAAAUACAUAUAUUUCCAAAACACAAUACAAAACCAAUACGUUGUUCGUUAGGCCCCAUAUGAGAUAUGACCCGGCAUAAUCGGGUCAAAAAGACUCCAAAAUCUACUGGGUUUUAAAUAUAUCCUAGAGAAUUUCUUGUUAACAAAGUUGGCGUGUAGAGAUAAUGCUGAGAGAUAGAGUAGAUUGGUCCAUAUUUUGAUUGAUACUCUUGUAUAUGAAAAUGUCACUAAAGAUAUAUACAACCACACUUACAAAUGAUGAGUAGUGAGUGGAAGUUCGAGUUGUAUAAAUUUGAAAUUCGAACAAAUAUUAAAAUUGUAAAUAACCAUUUUAAAUUGCAUGUUGAUAAGAUUCUAACUUUUAUGAUAUUUAAAUCUUAGCUAUGCUCAUUUAUCUCAAUCGCCGCAUAGCAAGCGAUAAAGAGUUUAUUAGAUCGGUGACUUGUAUACGGUUGUAUCUGAUCAUCCAUUUGAAAAUUCUUGAAUUAUUAUAUUAUUAAGAUCAUUAUCGUUAUUGCUAUUAGUAAGUGCCCUGAUUUAGUAAUAAAAUUAACAAUACCAAACGAACAUGUUCUUGAUUCCUAAAGUGAUGGUUGAUAUAUGUUUACUUCAGUCUUUUAUGGAAUCACUUCACCUUUCACUUUAAUGGUUUUAGUAUCAUGAAUUCUUUUUGACAGCCGAAAAGCUAGUUCUAAUAAUUUCAUUUUCCUAAUGUUCUGAUGCUUGCCCUAAUUAUUGUCUCUCUGAAUAAUCAAGACCACAGAAAAUUUAAUCACUUUGCACUUAUCUGAUUUAUUUUAUCUAAAGGUGAAUCCACAUGUCGAGUUAUAAUUAGUAAUUAUUGUGUUGUAUAGUGCAUACUCCAUUAAGACUGGUCCAAAAACUCUAUGCUUCGCUGCCGUCCUUGGUCCAGUUUGAUGAAGAACAAAUUCUUAAGCAACUAUAAUUAUCAAUCAAAUCGAUUACAUGAAAGUAAAAUUUGUUUAAAUCACAAAGGAAGCAAUGUAUUUAUUUAAGAAAUGCGUGUAACUUUCACGUGCAAGCACUUCCAGAGGUUCAAAAUGUAAUGGAACAAUGCUUUUAUUUUUUUUGGACGUCCAGUAAUGGUACAAUGCUAGUUUAGGUUUCUUAACUCGUUUUUCCUUUUUCGUUUCUUUAUUCUAUAGCUUUAUGUUUGUUCCAAUUGAAAAUGUGGUCGUUGUUUUGUCAACAAAAAUCUGGUCUUUUCUAAUAUCACGAAAACGAUAUGUUUUAACAUAUCUCGUACUGUGUGACAAAAAGGAACAUAUAUAACUUGUACUAAUUGUUAUAAUAAAGUCCGAUGUGUUGUUCUUCAACUUUGAAUAUGUGCCACUAUUAGUUAAUUUGUAUAACAAACUCAUAAAAUAUAGUGUCUGUAAUCUAUCCAUACGAGUCAGCACUACGUGACUAAUUUGAAUUAUAGUUACAUAAUCGAAAACUUAGACGAAAAUAUGCGGAUCUCCAAAACGUAGAAGUAAUAGGUUCAAAUGUUUUGAUUUUCCGACAUCAACUAUAUAUGGUUUUAUGUAAAGUUCCACCCUACUUCUAAUAUAUGUGUAUUUCAAUUACAUAUGUUGAUAUGUUUGCUGUUUGUCUGAAGAUCAGUUUGUCAAGUUUAAUAAAAAAACAUUUGGUUAACACAUGACCUGAGUUUUCACCCUCUGAUAUAAAAGUAUAUAAUUGUUUUUUCCUCUAUACAAAAGUAUAAAACACUUCCAACUUGUACAAGUAAUGGAAUACUGAAUAUCAUGUCACUAUAACUUUAAAUUAAAGCAAAGUGUAGGAGCAAAGAACCAUGAAUAGUAAACAUAUUGUAAUUAAAUAUGUUUGAAAACGGAUUGUAACGAAUAUUAAGAUCAAUAGAGUACUGGUAGUAGUAGCAACAGGCAGCAGCAGUGAGGUCCAGUCAAAAUCAUUUCCAAGAGAAAGUGAUCGUGACGAAUUACAGACAAAGUGAUCGGAAUAUUUAAAAAAAAAGAAGAAGAAGAGAGGAUUACGAAUAAGUAUGGUAAGUUUUGAACCCAUUGUUUCUCAGUGGAGAAUUUUAAUUAAUAAUAUUAAAAAUAAAUAUUGAUUUCAAAUGAAAUUAUAGGCCAAUUUUUUUCGCUUUCUAGGUGUACGUUAAUACGGAUUUGUAAAGUUUUUGUACGAGUAAUCAGUUCAUCGAUCUAU
Molecule: long non-coding RNA, 15841 nt
Filed under: Brassica napus (rape)
Lineage: Eukaryota; Viridiplantae; Streptophyta; Magnoliopsida; Brassicales; Brassicaceae
Description: long non-coding RNA (BNAP_LNC001866)
Source: RNAcentral